RNAcentral lists this ribosomal RNA (764 nucleotides) under uncultured Actinomycetes bacterium. Its description in RNAcentral is "bacterial SSU rRNA". It matches the Rfam family "Bacterial small subunit ribosomal RNA", at positions 1 to 748 of the family's 1533-position model. The record is from RNAcentral. Lineage: Bacteria; Bacillati; Actinomycetota; Actinomycetes.
CCGCGGGAUUAGAGUUUGAUCCUGGCUCAGGACGAACGCUGGCGGCUGUGCUUAACACAUGCAAGUGGAGCGACGAACCAGGCUUCGGCCUGGGGCAGAGCCGCGAACGGGUGAGUAACACGUGGGUAACGUGCCCCGAUGACUGGGACAACCCGAGGAAACUCGGGCUAAUACCGGAUAUGCCCCCUCACGAGAGUGAGGUGUGUAAAGGAAGCUUCGGCCUCCGCAUCGGGAUCGGCCCGCGGCGCAUUAGCUUGUUGGUGGGGUAACGGCCUACCAAGGCGACGAUGCGUAGCUGGUCUGAGAGGACGAUCAGCCACACUGGGACUGAGACACGGCCCAGACUCCUACGGGAGGCAGCAGUGGGGAAUCUUGCGCAAUGCGCGAAAGCGUGACGCAGCAACGCCGCGUGGGGGAAGACGGCCUUCGGGUUGUAAACCCCUUUCAGUUGGGACGAACGUCGGGCGGUGAAUAGCCGUUCCGACUGACGGUACCUUCACAAGAAGCCCCGGCUAACUACGUGCCAGCAGCCACGGUAAUGCGUAGGGGGCAAGCGUUGUCCGGAAUCAUUGGGCGUAAAGAGCGUGUAGGCGGCCCGGUAAGUCCGCUGUGAAAGUCGGGGGCUCAACCCUCGAAUGCCGGCGGAUACUGUCGGGCUAGACUCCGGAAGAGGCGAGUGGAAUUCCUGGUGUAGCGGUGAAAUGCGCAGAUAUCACGAGGAACACCAACGGCGAAGGCAGCUCGCUGGGACGGAACUGACGCUG